RNAcentral lists this ribosomal RNA (775 nucleotides) under uncultured Neocallimastigales. RNAcentral describes it as "partial large subunit ribosomal RNA". It matches the Rfam family "Eukaryotic large subunit ribosomal RNA", at positions 18 to 616 of the family's 3401-position model. The record is from RNAcentral. Lineage: Eukaryota; Fungi; Neocallimastigomycota; Neocallimastigomycetes; Neocallimastigales.
UCAGACGAUGCGUCAUGCAUAUCAAUAAGCGGAGGAAAAGAAACUAACAAGGAUUCCCCUAGUAACGGCGAGUGAAGCGGGAAGAGCUCAAAUUUGAAAUCUUAAAGGGUUUCCCUUUACGAAUUGUAGUUUAAAGAAGUGUUUUCUGUUGAGGUUUUGGUAAAAGUUCUUUGGAAUAGGACAUCAUAGAGGGUGAGAAUCCCGUAUUUGACCUUUACUUUCAACUUUGUGAUACACUUUCAAAGAGUCGGAUUGUUUGGGAAUGCAGUCCAAAAUGGGUGGUAAAUUUCAUCUAAAGCUAAAUAUUGGCGAGAGACCGAUAGCGAGCAAGUACCGUGAGGGAAAGAUGAAAAGAACUUUGAAAAGAGAGUUAAACAGUACGUGAAAUUGUCAAAGGGAAGCGUUUGACACCAGUGUUGUUUUUCUGAAAAUCAAUUAAAGAACUGUUUAUGCUAAGCUGUUUAGACUUUAUCAGCUAAUCUGUUUAGUUUUGAGCUUUUCUUUAAUGCACUUUUCAGUUAACAAGUCAACAUCAAUUUCUUUUGCUGUAAAAAAGGCUUGAGGAAGGUGGCUUGAGAUUCGUCUUAAGUGUUUAUAGCCUCUUGCCUAUGCAGUCGGAGAGAUUGAGGUCUGCAGCGUAGAUCCUUCGGGGCUAAAUGCAUUUGUGCUAAGUUAUAGCAUUUUAUAGACAACCUGUUGACUAUGAUUUGUCUUGUAGCUUACUCGCUUAUGUUAUUUUACCUACGCUUAGGAUGUUGAGCGCAUGUCUCUCUCU